RNAcentral lists this ribosomal RNA (114 nucleotides) under Desulfoscipio geothermicus. RNAcentral also lists the same sequence under 1 other name. Lineage: Bacteria; Bacillati; Bacillota; Clostridia; Eubacteriales; Desulfallaceae. The record is from RNAcentral.
UCCGGUAACCAUAGCGGAGAGGAUACACCCGUUCCCAUCCCGAACACGGCAGUUAAGCUCUCCAGCGCCGAUGGUACUGGGGUUCGCCCCCGGGAGAGUAGGUCGUUGCCGGAA